RNAcentral lists this ribosomal RNA (465 nucleotides) under uncultured bacterium. RNAcentral describes it as "partial 16S ribosomal RNA". It matches the Rfam family "Bacterial small subunit ribosomal RNA", at positions 338 to 795 of the family's 1533-position model. The record is from RNAcentral.
CCUACGGGAGGCAGCAGUAGGGAAUCUUCCACAAUGGGCGAAAGCCUGAUGGAGCAACGCCGCGUGGGUGAAGAAGGUCUUCGGAUCGUAAAACCCUGUUGUUAGAGAAGAAAGUGCGUGAGAGUAACUGUUCACGUUUCGACGGUAUCUAACCAGAAAGCCACGGCUAACUACGUGCCAGCAGCCGCGGUAAUACGUAGGUGGCAAGCGUUAUCCGGAUUUAUUGGGCGUAAAGGGAACGCAGGCGGUCUUUUAAGUCUGAUGUGAAAGCCUUCGGCUUAACCGGAGUAGUGCAUUGGAAACUGGGAGACUGGAGUGCAGAAGAGGAGAGUGGAACUCCAUGUGGAGCGGUGAAAUGCGUAGAUAUAUGGAAGAACACCAGUGGCGAAAGCGGCUCUCUGGUCUGUAACUGACGCUGAGGUUCGAAAGCGUGGGUAGCAAACAGGAUUAGAUACCCCAGUAGUC